RNAcentral lists this ribosomal RNA (465 nucleotides) under uncultured bacterium. Its description in RNAcentral is "partial 16S ribosomal RNA". It matches the Rfam family "Bacterial small subunit ribosomal RNA", at positions 28 to 507 of the family's 1533-position model. The record is from RNAcentral.
GACGAACGCUGGCGGCGUGCUUAACACAUGCAAGUCGAACGGAAAGGCCCUGCUUGCAGGGUACUCGAGUGGCGAACGGGUGAGUAACACGUGGGUGAUCUGCCCUGCACUUCGGGAUAAGCCUGGGAAACUGGGUCUAAUACCGGAUAGGAGCCAUUUUUAGUGUGAUGGUUGGAAAGUUUUUUCGGUGUAGGAUGAGCUCGCGGCCUAUCAGCUUGUUGGUGGGGUAAUGGCCUACCAAGGCGGCGACGGGUAGCCGGCCUGAGAGGGUGGACGGCCACAUUGGGACUGGGAUACGGCCCAGACUCCUACGGGUGGCAGAAGUGGGGAAUAUUGCACAAUGGGCGCAAGCCUGAUGCAGCGACGCCGCGUGGGGGAUGACGGCCUUCGGGUUGUAAACUCCUUUCGCUAGGGACGAAGCUUUUUGUGACGGUACCUAGAUAAGAAGCACCGGCUAACUACGUG